Molecule: long non-coding RNA, 2242 nt
Organism: Oreochromis aureus
Lineage: Eukaryota; Metazoa; Chordata; Actinopteri; Cichliformes; Cichlidae
Source: Ensembl
CUUUUGUCUAAUACUGCAUGCAAUAACCAAGACAAACAACAUUUGUACAUAUUUGGGGUUGGUAUACUUGGCACAGUAGAAGCCUCAUCCUGGUUAAACUGAAAAUGUAGCUUAAAAAUGCGAUUCGAGGACCUGUUUUCUUUUGAAAAUGUUGCUCAAAUCAUUGGAAUAUUUGCUAAGUUUGAGCUACUUUUAGUUUAGAGGGGCUUAUUUUAAUGACCUAUUUCUAUUUUGCACAACAUUUUUUUUUUUUUAAACCCCCAAGUGCAGCCAUUUUGUGCUCUUUUCUAAGCAUUUAUUAUCUCAUAUGCUAAUGUCUACACAUGGUACAAAAUGGCGGUCAGCACUCGGUUUGGUCUACAGGUUAGGCUUCAUGCUGCCCCCAGGUAUCCAGCCCACAGUCUUUUACAGUGUGCUGUUUCAUUAUUAUAGUCAAUCUGUUUUGAAUGGUUUUUAUAUGUUUCUAUCUAUGAAAACUGUCAUUGCAACUCUAUCCAGUCAACAGUGGACUUCCUGUUAGCAAGACAGGCUCAAUAUGUACAAUAGAUUAGUGUUUUUAAUUAGAAUCACUUUUAGAGUUCACUGUGCACAAGUGGCUUUUUGGUACUUUGUUUGCAAAAAUGUAGAAUCAUAACUCCAGAGAAAAGACAUGCAGUUAGCUGGAUUAAUGUUUGAAUGAACCUGAACCUUUUUUUGUGCUUGCUAAUAGUGUGUUCAUAUUUGAGGCGCUAAUUAGAACACAACUGAUGAGCCAGUAUUUUUUUCUUUUAGACAUUGAAAAUAUGAAAAUAAACAUUCUCUGAACAUACAUAGUUAUUAAUAAGUCCUUAUUAUGAUAAAAUGACAGUGCAGAUUAUAAACAUGGGAAGUUGAGAGUGCCCUCUUACUGCAGCCACCUUCGCUUACUUUGGCAGUAUACUUUGGGUCAUUAAUACAUUUGCAUUGUGAAGAUCUGUCCAUUCAGUUUUACAGCAUUUGGGUGAAUCUAAGGCCCUGUACACUUUAAAAUUCAUUCUGCUACUUCUGUCAGCAGUCACAUCAUCAAUAAACAUUAGUGAUGCGGUCCCAUUAGCAGCUGUUCAUGCAAAUAUCAUUCUACUGCCUCUACCAUGUUUGACAGAUACUCUUCCCGUCAUUCUGGUGCAAACUAAUCUUGGCUUCAUCUGUCCAAAGAUCUUUUCUGGUAAAGUCUAAUCUGGCCUUACUGUUCUUGAGUGUUCUGUACAGCAUAUAAAUACACAAAUGUGUAGCUUAUGUCGAGGUUGCCGUGUCUUUUCACUGAGUUGAUGAUUUUAUAUCCAGCAUUCAUCACGUAUCCCAGUUAACCUUGUGCUGUAGAGCUAAAAGCUAACGUUGUGAUCUGAGUAGUUUACCUGCGGUCCUAUUACGCUCAUAUGUCAUAUCUGUACCUGCUGUACUUCUGCUAUAGUCCUCACUUGUUUUCUGUAUUUAAAGGUAGUUAGCUGAAUGUUUCUUACAGCAAUCCAGAUGUUUUCACUCUACAGCUGCCAGCUUUUUGGUUUUAGAAAAUACACCUUGUCAGAAUUGAAAAUAACUGUUGACAUGAAUUGAUUUUUUUUCUAAUCUCACUGUAAAGUUUUUACCUUCUGUUGUCUGAUCAGAUUUUUCCUUCAUAUCGGUGCAGUUUGCUUUGGAUCCCAAAUGUUCUCCUCUCCAUCAGAACUCUGUGUACCUUCAGAUCUGUUUGUGCUGAUUCAUGACAGUGACUGGAUGUAAUUAGUUACAGUUGUUUCUCCACAGACACAGAUAAUGCAGGACGAACACAUGUACGCUCCACUUUAAUCAGUGGUUUGAAGCCAUUUCAAUAUAUCGCUCCUAAAUUUAAUUGCGGUACCAACUCCUAUAGCUGUAAAUAAUCUCCUGAUACGCUUUGACUGGAGAAGAUUCUCUGAAUAAAACUGACCUACUGAGGCUUUUACGAAUCAGUGUUAUUCUGCGUCUGUGGAACCAACAUUUCCACUAACUUAAAGUUUCUGUGAUGACCUUUGAUUAAUCCCGGUGUGUGAUUGUUUCUCCAGUGUUGCUGUAGAAGGCUGAAAAUACUCUCUGUGGUCCCUGCACUCCUCAGCUUGUAGCUAGCAGCUGUGAGACAUGAAAUGUGUGCAAUGUUAAUUUAAAAUCCCAGCUGUUAUUGAGGCUCUGGCUUGAUAGGUUGAUUUAGAAAAGAUUUAUAUUUUAUACUUGUUUGAGGACAAAACCCAAUAAAUUUGGAUCAAAGGAU